Molecule: long non-coding RNA, 767 nt
Organism: Oncorhynchus tshawytscha (Chinook salmon)
Lineage: Eukaryota; Metazoa; Chordata; Actinopteri; Salmoniformes; Salmonidae
Source: Ensembl
UUUUGGGUCGUGUUUACAUACCCGUGUUCGCGGGGUCCGACAUGCCAAUCAACCUGCUAUCUGCCAAUCACGGGAAUGCCUGGAAUGUUCUGACGCCGUCAUCGUGGACGGGGGUUGGGCAGGGGAAUGGAGCAUUGGAAGUUAAGACCACGUUUAGCCAUUGUUCUCUCUUACAUCUGGCCUUCACAAUUGAAGCUCACGGUUGGUUUUUGGGGUAUCUUUCAUUUAUUUGGCGUGGGCUAUGGCCAAACAGUAGCCUGUGUAAAGUUGGGUUAGUAAACCGUCAAUUCGUAAACUCAAGCCUCAGUCUGGGCAAUUGUUCCUUUAUGAUCUAGUCAGGUCAUUACAAUACGCUGCCGCUACUCUGUUUUUUAUAUUUUUUUUAAUUAAAAUUGUCUUACUUUUUAACUGCAUUGUUGGUAAAAAUAAUCUCGUAUGUAAGCAUUUCACAUUCAAGUCUACAGCUGUUGUAUUCCGUGCAUAUGACAAUUACAGUUGGACUUGAUUUGAAAGGCCCUAUACGGAUUGACCAUGAAAUGCAUGCCUCCAGCAGGAUGCACAGACAACAACUAUAGUUUGCAUGCCCUGCCGAAAGAUCCUUUCAUGCGGAAUAGAUGGUUGGAAUUUGUUGGUCCCCAGUGGUGACAAAGUGCCUAGUUGGGCCAGACCGACGCCCGCGCCAGGUCGGGCCAGACCGACGCCCGCGCCAGGUCGGGCCGGGCCAGACCGACGCCCGACCGACGCCCGGUCGGGCCAGACCGACGCCC